RNAcentral lists this ribosomal RNA (763 nucleotides) under Dermomurex wareni. RNAcentral describes it as "partial 16S ribosomal RNA". The stretch from base 1 to 581 matches the Rfam family "Bacterial large subunit ribosomal RNA", at positions 1817 to 2925 of the family's 2925-position model. Lineage: Eukaryota; Metazoa; Mollusca; Gastropoda; Neogastropoda; Muricidae. The record is from RNAcentral.
GGCUCCCUGUUUUUUUUAUAUAGGGAGUCAGACCUGCCCGGUGAAUUUUUUUAACGGCCGCGGUACUCUGACCGUGCAAAGGUAGCAUAAUCAUUUGCCUUAUAAUUGGAGGCUUGUAUGAAUGGUUCGACAAGAGUGUAGCUGUCUCUUUAUAAUUAAUUAGAAUUUUAUUUAUAGGUGAAGAAGCCUAUAUUUUAUUGAUAGACAAGAAGACCCUAUCGAGCUUUAAAUUAGUUAAUAAAAUUGAAAUUUAAUAUAGAUUAAAAAACUAGUUGUUUUAUAUUUUGGUUGGGGCGACUUAGGAACAAAUGAAGCUUCCUAUAUUUUUUUAAACAGACAAGUGGUGAUCCAAAAAGUUUGAUUAAAGAAAUUAGUUACCGUAGGGAUAACAGCAUAAUCUUUUUUGAGAGCUCUAAUCGAAAAAAAGGUUUGUGACCUCGAUGUUGGACCAGAAUAUCCUAAAGAUGCAGCCGUCUUUAAGGGUUGGUCUGUUCGACCAUUAAAAUUCUACGUGAUCUGAGUUCAGACCGGCGUGAGCCAGGUCAGUUUCUAUCUUCAAUUUACCUAAUGGGCUUAGUACGAAAGGACCAGCUUAUUACAAAUAGUAUUGUUAAAUUUGAAAUAAUAUAAAAAACUAUUUAAUUACUACUUAUAAUCAUUUAUUGUAUCAAAUUAGCAAAGUUAAUGCAAUUGACUUAGGAUCAAUAGACAUAGGUGAAAUUCCUUUAUUUGAUAUUCUUUAAUAUAAAGGUGGCAGAUAUAA